UACGAAGGGGACUAGCGUUGUUCGGAAUUACUGGGCGUAAAGCGCACGUAGGCGGAUUGCUAAGUCAGGGGUGAAAUCCCGGGGCUCAACCUCGGAACUGCCCUUGAUACUGACAAUCUCGAGUCCGAUAGAGGUGGGUGGAAUUCCUAGUGUAGAGGUGAAAUUCGUAGAUAUUAGGAAGAACACCGGUGGCGAAGGCGGCCCACUGGAUCGGUACUGACGCUGAGGUGCGAAAGCGUGGGGAGCAAACAGG
This 253-nucleotide ribosomal RNA is filed under the name uncultured bacterium. RNAcentral's name for it is "partial 16S ribosomal RNA". It matches the Rfam family "Bacterial small subunit ribosomal RNA", at positions 524 to 776 of the family's 1533-position model. The record is from RNAcentral.